CGGACGGGUGAGUAAUGUCUGGGAAACUGCCCAUGGAGGGGGAUAACUACUGGAAACGGUAGCUAAUACCGCAUAACGUCGCAAGACCAAAGAGGGGGACCUUGGGCCUCUUGCCAUCGGAUGUGCCCAGAUGGGAUUAGCUAGUAGGUGGGGUAACGGCUCACCUAGGCGACGAUCCCUAGCUGGUCUGAGAGGAUGACCAGCCACACUGGAACUGAGACACGGUCCAG
Molecule: ribosomal RNA, 230 nt
Filed under: uncultured bacterium
Lineage: Bacteria
Description: partial 16S ribosomal RNA
Rfam family: Bacterial small subunit ribosomal RNA
Source: RNAcentral